AGUGGCUUAGUUAGGAGGCCAAUAGUAAUUUAAGGCAUUUUGAGUGGAUUGUUGCAUUCUAUCAACAGUCCUCCAAGCAGCCGUGAACAUUU
Small nucleolar RNA from Salvia miltiorrhiza (redroot sage), 92 nucleotides. RefSeq annotates it as small nucleolar RNA U19. The record is from RefSeq and is a predicted model, not a curated record. The transcript has a single exon. Lineage: Eukaryota; Viridiplantae; Streptophyta; Magnoliopsida; Lamiales; Lamiaceae.